CACGUAGGGGGCAAGCGUUGUCCGGAUUUAUUGGGCGUAAAGAGCUCGUAGGCGGCUCGGUAAGUCGGGUGUGAAACCUCCAGGCUCAACCUGGAGACGCCACUCGAUACUGCCGUGGCUAGAGUCCGGUAGAGGAGCGUAGAAUUCCUGGUGUAGCGGUGAAAUGCGCAGAUAUCAGGAGGAAUACCAGCGGCGAAGGCGGCGCUCUGGGCCGGAACUGACGCUGAGGAGCGAAAGCGUGGAGAGCAAACAGG
RNAcentral lists this ribosomal RNA (254 nucleotides) under uncultured bacterium. RNAcentral describes it as "partial 16S ribosomal RNA". It matches the Rfam family "Bacterial small subunit ribosomal RNA", at positions 524 to 776 of the family's 1533-position model. The record is from RNAcentral.